This 512-nucleotide ribosomal RNA is filed under the name uncultured bacterium. RNAcentral's name for it is "partial 16S ribosomal RNA". It matches the Rfam family "Bacterial small subunit ribosomal RNA", at positions 28 to 507 of the family's 1533-position model. The record is from RNAcentral.
GAUGAACGCUGGCGGCGUGCCUAAUACAUGCAAGUCGAACGAAACGUCUUUAUCACCGAGUGCUUGCACUCACCGAUAAAGGGGUGAGUGGCGAACGGGUGAGUAACACGUGGGCAACCUGCCCAAAAGAGGGGGAGAACACUUGGAAACAGGUGCUAAUAACGCAUAACCAUAGUUACCGCAUGGUAACUAUGUAAAAGGUGGCUAUACUACCGCCGUUGGAUGGGCCCGCGGCGCAUUAGCUAGUUGGUAGGGUAAAGGCUUACCAAGGCAAUGAUGCGUAGCCGACUUGAGAGGUUGAUCGGCCACAUUGGGACUGAGACACGGCCCAGACUCCUACGGGAGGCAGCAGUAGGGAAUCUUCCACAAUGGGCGAAAGCCUGAUGGAGCAACGCCGCGUGGGUGAAGAAGGUCUUCGGAUCGUAAAACCCUGUUGUUAGGGAAGAACGUGCGUGAGAGUAACUGUUCACGUUUCGACGGUAUCUAACCAGAAAGCCACGGCUAACUACGUG